GGGCGCUACCAUGCAGUCGAGCGAACCUUCGGGUUAGCGGCGGACGGGUGAGUAACGCGUGGGAACGUACCCUCUUCUGCGGGAUAGCCACUGGAAACGGUGAGUAAUACCGCAUACGCCCUUCGGGGGAAAGAUUUAUCGGAGGAGGAUCGGCCCGCGUUGGAUUAGGUAGUUGGUGGGGUAAUGGCCUACCAAGCCUACGAUCCAUAGCUGGUUUUAGAGGAUGAUCAGCCACACUGGGACUGAGACACGGCCCAGACUCCUACGGGAGGCAGCAGUGGGGAAUCUUAGACAAUGGGCGCAAGCCUGAUCUAGCCAUGCCGCGUGAGUGACGAAGGCCUUAGGGUCGUAAAGCUCUUUCGCCAGAGAUGAUAAUGACAGUAUCUGGUAAAGAAACCCCGGCUAACUCCGUGCCAGCAGCCGCGGUAAUACGGAGGGGGUUAGCGUUGUUCGGAAUUACUGGGCGUAAAGCGCACGUAGGCGGAUUGGAAAGUUGGGGGUGAAAUCCCAGGGCUCAACCCUGGAACUGCCUCCAAAACUCCCAGUCUGGAGUUCGAGAGAGGUGAGUGGAAUUCCGAGUGUAGAGGUGAAAUUCGUAGAUAUUCGGAGGAACACCAGUGGCGAAGGCGGCUCACUGGCUCGAUACUGACGCUGAGGUGC
This 660-nucleotide ribosomal RNA is filed under the name Roseovarius sp. Its description in RNAcentral is "bacterial SSU rRNA". It matches the Rfam family "Bacterial small subunit ribosomal RNA", at positions 44 to 754 of the family's 1533-position model. The record is from RNAcentral. Lineage: Bacteria; Pseudomonadati; Pseudomonadota; Alphaproteobacteria; Rhodobacterales; Roseobacteraceae.